This 348-nucleotide long non-coding RNA is filed under the name Gossypium barbadense (sea-island cotton). Its description in RNAcentral is "long non-coding RNA (GBAR_LNC005247)". The record is from RNAcentral. Lineage: Eukaryota; Viridiplantae; Streptophyta; Magnoliopsida; Malvales; Malvaceae.
AUGGAUUUAUCUAAACAACAACAAAAGAAAAACUCCUAAAACUUUCCAAAAUAUAUUCAAUAAAGCCCAUCCUUAAACCACAUACAUUAGGACAACUCGGUAAAAGAUAGACACAGAGUCCUGCAAGCAACGACCGAAACAACCAAAGCUGCCAAAUAUCAGAGAAGACAUCAUAAGCUAAUGUAGAAGUUUUUCAUACCUUGAUUGUCGAGUAAUUCAGUCUUAGACAUCCUUAAGGCAAAAUGAGGUCAACAGCUUUGUAUAUGAACAUCAUGGUGCAAUAGGCUCCUGUACAAAGUCCAGCUGUCCUUGCUCUCCGAUCAUUGGCCAUUGAUCAAUGUCAGGCUG